CGUGGGACAGGGGCGUCCGAAGGUGCCGGCUCGGAUGGGCUCGGCUCGGCCGCCGCCACACCGCCCGGGCCUCCCGGGCCUCCCCGGCCUCCCGCCCUCGCGCCCCUCGGGAGGCUGUAGUCCUGCCCCCGGCGCGGCCAGCCCGCGCUCCCGCACACCCCGCCCGCUCGCCCGCGCGUGUGUACGUGCGCCGGAGGCCUGGAGAGACCGGAGUUUAACGCCCAGUCUUCUUCCUAAGUUGGAGAAAUGGGAAACGAUUUGAAAGCUGCCAACCGGAGGUGAAAAUCUUGCCACUUGUGAAACUGAAGGAACAUCCCCAAGGCCUGGCUUCUCCUUUUAACAGAAGCUUUCUUUCAGGGUCCCCCUCCUGGAUGUGGCAGGCCUCCCAGAUUCCCCUGGAAGUUCUGACUUGCCCAUACACACAAGGACCUCAGGAAACCCAAUAGUGACUUUCCUCAGAUCUGUGAAUUCCUUCUUCUGGAAAAUAACCUUCUCAACAAUUGUAUAAUGGAGUCCUUUAUGUUGUAAACAAGAAUAAAAAAGAAAGUAUAGAUAUUGUGGAGUAGUUUUUUUGUGGGGGGGGGGUCCUUUCUUUAAAAACCGUGUGAAUAUGUGGUUCUCAAUCAUUAUAUCCAAAACAUUUUACUAUUUUUCUUGUAAGCCUUGUAUUUUAUUAAUAUUUUUGUCAAACAAAUUAAAUGGUAAUAAUACAUCCAUUUUACAUGCCAGGCAGAACUUCUAAAUAGCAGAUAAAAGACCUGUUACCUCAUCAAGGUAAUGAAUUCCAGCCCAAACAAAGACAUUUCAAGAUUUUUUUUAGCUUCAGUAGCGUUACCUUGGGAAAAAUAGUCAGUUUUUAAGAUUUUGUGGAAAUACAGGAAAUAGUGUCUAUUUUUGCAAAUCAUUAUGGAUAUAGGAACCCCAAAUCUAUUGAUAUAGACCUGCUUUUUCCCUCCUUUUUUCAUUUAACAAAAACUUAGUCAUGGAUUUAUUGUGCAUGAAGCCUUCUUAGGUUUCUACAAAGAUCAUAAAGAAAUAUAACAGG
This 1045-nucleotide long non-coding RNA is filed under the name Homo sapiens (human). RNAcentral's name for it is "non-protein coding lnc-KMO-3:6". The record is from RNAcentral. Lineage: Eukaryota; Metazoa; Chordata; Mammalia; Primates; Hominidae.